UCAAUGAACAAUGGUUUGAAGUGGCUGAACGUUCACGACAAUUGAUUACUGAAUGCCACGGAUUAAUGAGUUUUCUAGCGGAGGUCAUAUUAGAAGAGAGAAAUUUGGCUGAAGAUAUGGGAUUAUUAUUAUGCAAUCAUAUAUUAAAUGUUUUGCAAUCACCAGCUCUAAAUACCAUCACAUUUGUCUGUAUAUCACUGAAAGUAAGUACUUUGUUAUAAAAAAUUAUUGGAGAUAAAAUUUGUAAGAAAAAAAUAUUUACAGCGAGCAUGCAAAUACCUCGACGAAAAACGCCUUGAUAAUAUAGUUAUGCUAAAGGAAGUUAUUCACAGUCUUCUUAAGUAUAAUGCAGCAAAUGAUUCCAAUAAUUUAUCAUCCGAAAUUGAAGAUUUUGUAAGCUGGAUUUCUAAUUAUUGGAAAAUUGAUUUGUCGGAUAUUAAUAUUACACCAACUUCAACAACUGUUAAACUAUCUGCUCAAAGUGCAACAGUAUCCACUUCAACUUUAAGUAGUGCAACUGUCUCUGUACCACGUUCAACAACCAUAGAACUGCCUGCUCCACUUGGAUUAUCAUUUACUUCAAUUCCUACGAUUACAACUGUCUCCAUACCAACAUCAGCAACUGUCAUAUUAUCUGCUCAAAGUGCAACAGCGUCCACUUCAGCUUUAAGUAGUGCAACUACCUCUGUACCACGUUCAACAACCAUAGAACUGCCUGCUCCACUUGUAUUAGCAUCUACUUCAAUUCCUACGAUUACAACUGUCCCCAUACCAACAUCAGCAACUGUCACGUUAUCUGCUCGAAGUGCAACAGCAUCAACUUCAGCUUUAAGUAGUGCAACUAUCUCUGUACCACGUUCAACAAUCAUAGAAUUGCCUGCUCCACUUGAAUUAGCAUCUACUUUAACUCCUACUAUUACAACUGUCUCCAUACCAACAUCAACAACCGACAAACUAUCUGCUCAAAGUGCAACAGCAUCCACUUCAACUUUGAAAAUUACAACUGUUUCUAUACCAACCGCAACAACCACAACAAUAGUGACAACGACAUCAUCAUUAUUAUUUAAAAGAAAUUUCAAUUUAUUAAAUACAAGACAGAAAGUAGAUGAAAAUAAUAAUAAAAAGUACCUCAUAGCAAAAAAAAUUAACUCCGAUGAACAUUUCCUAAUACCUAUUAAAAUCUUACAAACUUCUACAACUAACAACUCCACAACAAAUAUAUCAGCACCAGAUGAAUUAAACAAAUCGAAAUUUGAUGUCAAUGAAAAGAAAAAAGUUCUUAAUGCUAUGCACAGUAACACAAUUGAUUUAAAUUAUCUUUCGACUCUUUCCUGUUCGUUCAUAGAAAAAAAAAGAAUUAAUUCUUUUAUCAUCGACAAAUCAAAAGUAAAACGAAAAAAAAGUUCUGCAGAUAAAGAAAAUUAACAGUGAAUAAAAUUGUUCUAUUGAGUUGAAGUAGAAAAACAAAUGAUACAGUUGUAAAUAUAUAUAAUGUAUGUUUGCAAUUCAAUAUUAAAUGUUUUAAUUAAAAAAAAAAAAAAAUGAACAAAGAAAAAAAAAAUGAAUUUUAGUAUGUCAUUUAUUCUUAAUAAGUAUUGGUUACUAACCAGAUAAUAUUAACAAGGAAGUUAUAAAUUUUUAAAGAUGUGGACUCGGGUGCAAGAGACAUGCUUGGUACAAGCAAGAUUAGUGCAAUAUGAGCAUCUUUUUCAGUCGAUAAGUUUUGAAUAUGUUAAUUUGUGGGAUGAAAAUGCUUGGGAGGAAUUGGCUGAAGAAACAAAUUUAAUUAACAGCAAAACUCCAUUCGAAUGCUUUAAGCAUUUCUGUCAACUGUUUCACGAGUUUAAGUAUCACAAAGGAGUUUCAAAAAGAGGAUAACCUCGUGAACAUUUUGUUUGGUACCCGGAAUUUAAUCAAUACUACCACACACUACAACGGCGUACGAUUGAUUACUUUGAACAAUUCAAGAAGUUCCCAUUUUUGAUUUAACUCAUCCACGCAUCUCACUACAUCUGGAAUUUACCAAAAAAAAAAACAAAAAAAUUAAAUAAAAAUAGUUGGUUACUUAGUGUUUUAUUGAUUCAC
Molecule: RNA transcript, 2085 nt
Organism: Microplitis mediator
Lineage: Eukaryota; Metazoa; Arthropoda; Insecta; Hymenoptera; Braconidae
Exons: 4
Source: RefSeq, a predicted model, not a curated record